Molecule: transfer RNA, 48 nt
Filed under: Physella acuta
Lineage: Eukaryota; Metazoa; Mollusca; Gastropoda; Physidae
Description: transfert RNA-L1(CTA)
Source: RNAcentral
AGCAGAAUUAAUGCAUUUGAUUUAGGGUCAUAAGAUGGUUUAUAACCA